AGAGUUUGAUCCUGGCUCAGGACGAACGCUGGCGGCGUGCCUAAUACAUGCAAGUCGAGCGGACAGAAGGGAGCUUGCUCCCGGAUGUUAGCGGCGGACGGGUGAGUAACACGUGGGUAACCUGCCUGUAAGACUGGGAUAACUCCGGGAAACCGGAGCUAAUACCGGAUAGUUCCUUGAACCGCAUGGUUCAAGGAUGAAAGACGGUUUCGGCUGUCACUUACAGAUGGACCCGCGGCGCAUUAGCUAGUUGGUGGGGUAAUGGCUCACCAAGGCGACGAUGCGUAGCCGACCUGAGAGGGUGAUCGGCCACACUGGGACUGAGACACGGCCCAGACUCCUACGGGAGGCAGCAGUAGGGAAUCUUCCGCAAUGGACGAAAGUCUGACGGAGCAACGCCGCGUGAGUGAUGAAGGUUUUCGGAUCGUAAAGCUCUGUUGUUAGGGAAGAACAAGUGCGAGAGUAACUGCUCGCACCUUGACGGUACCUAACCAGAAAGCCACGGCUAACUACGUGCCAGCAGCCGCGGUAAUACGUAGGUGGCAAGCGUUGUCCGGAAUUAUUGGGCGUAAAGGGCUCGCAGGCGGUUUCUUAAGUCUGAUGUGAAAGCCCCCGGCUCAACCGGGGAGGGUCAUUGGAAACUGGGAAACUUGAGUGCAGAAGAGGAGAGUGGAAUUCCACGUGUAGCGGUGAAAUGCGUAGAGAUGUGGAGGAACACCAGUGGCGAAGGCGACUCUCUGGCCUGUAACUGACGCUGAGGAGCGAAAGCGUGGGGAGCGAACAGGAUUAGAUACCCUGGUAGUCCACGCCGUAAACGAUGAGUGCUAAGUGUUAGGGGGUUUCCGCCCCUUAGUGCUGCAGCUAACGCAUUAAGCACUCCGCCUGGGGAGUACGGUCGCAAGACUGAAACUCAAAGGAAUUGACGGGGGCCCGCACAAGCGGUGGAGCAUGUGGUUUAAUUCGAAGCAACGCGAAGAACCUUACCAGGUCUUGACAUCCUCUGACAACCCUAGAGAUAGGGCUUUCCCUUCGGGGACAGAGUGACAGGUGGUGCAUGGUUGUCGUCAGCUCGUGUCGUGAGAUGUUGGGUUAAGUCCCGCAACGAGCGCAACCCUUGAUCUUAGUUGCCAGCAUUCAGUUGGGCACUCUAAGGUGACUGCCGGUGACAAACCGGAGGAAGGUGGGGAUGACGUCAAAUCAUCAUGCCCCUUAUGACCUGGGCUACACACGUGCUACAAUGGACAGAACAAAGGGCUGCAAGACCGCAAGGUUUAGCCAAUCCCAUAAAUCUGUUCUCAGUUCGGAUCGCAGUCUGCAACUCGACUGCGUGAAGCUGGAAUCGCUAGUAAUCGCGGAUCAGCAUGCCGCGGUGAAUACGUUCCCGGGCCUUGUACACACCGCCCGUCACGCCACGAGAGUUUGCAACACCCGAAGUCGGUGAGGUAACCUUUAUGGAGCCAGCCGCCGAAGGUGGGGCAGAUGAUUGGGGUGAAGUCGUAACAAGGUAGCC
RNAcentral lists this ribosomal RNA (1510 nucleotides) under Bacillus safensis. RNAcentral describes it as "bacterial SSU rRNA". It matches the Rfam family "Bacterial small subunit ribosomal RNA". Lineage: Bacteria; Bacillati; Bacillota; Bacilli; Caryophanales; Bacillaceae. The record is from RNAcentral.